GCGCACGCUGGCGGCAGGCCUCACCCCUGCCAGUCGCACGAACCUUUCGGGGUUAGUGGCGGACGGGUGAGUCACACGUGGGAACGUGCCUUUAGGUUCGGAAUAACUCAGGGAAACUUGUGCUAAUACCGAAUGUGCCCUUCGGGGGAAAGAUUUAUCGCCUUUAGAGCGGCCCGCGUCUGAUUAGCUAGUUGGUUGAGGUAAUGGCUCACCAAGGCGACGAUCAGUAGCUGGUCUGAGAGGAUGAUCAGCCACAUUGGGACUGAGACACGGCCCAAACUCCUACGGGAGGCAGCAGUGGGGAAUCUUGCGCAAUGGGCGAAAGCCUGACGCAGCCAUGCCGCGUGAAUGAUGAAGGUCUUAGGAUUGUAAAAUUCUUUCACCGGGGACGAUAAUGACGGUACCCGGAGAAGAAGCCCCGGCUAACUUCGUG
RNAcentral lists this ribosomal RNA (433 nucleotides) under uncultured bacterium. Its description in RNAcentral is "partial 16S ribosomal RNA". It matches the Rfam family "Bacterial small subunit ribosomal RNA", at positions 29 to 507 of the family's 1533-position model. The record is from RNAcentral.